This 454-nucleotide ribosomal RNA is filed under the name uncultured bacterium. RNAcentral describes it as "bacterial SSU rRNA". It matches the Rfam family "Bacterial small subunit ribosomal RNA", at positions 335 to 803 of the family's 1533-position model. The record is from RNAcentral.
ACUCCUACGGGAGGCAGCAGUGGGGAAUAUUGCACAAUGGGCGGAAGCCUGAUGCAGCGACGCCGCGUGAGGGAUGACGGCCUUCGGGUUGUAAACCUCUUUCAGCAGGGACGAAGCGUAAGUGACGGUACCNGCAGAAGAAGCACCGGCAACUAUGUAGCCAGCAGCCGCGGUAAUACGUAGGGUGCGAGCGUUGUCCGGAAUUACUGGGCGUAAAGAGCUCGUAGGCGGUUUGUCACGUCGUCUGUGAAAUCCUAGGGCUUAACCCUGGACGUGCAGGCGAUACGGGCUGACUUGAGUACUACAGGGGAGACUGGAAUUUCUGGUGUAGCGGUGGAAUGCAACAGAUAUCAGGAAGAACACCGAUGGCGAAGGCAGGUCUCUGGGUAGUAACUGACGCUGAGGAGCGAAAGCAUGGGUAGCGAACAGGAUUAGAUACCCUGGUAGGCGUAGU